This is a microRNA precursor of Tribolium castaneum (red flour beetle), 89 nucleotides long. It matches the Rfam family "mir-3817 microRNA precursor family". Lineage: Eukaryota; Metazoa; Arthropoda; Insecta; Coleoptera; Tenebrionidae. The record is from Rfam.
UAACUGGGGCCGGUUUCGAGGCGUGGUGGGCGGUAAUAUUAGUAAAAAUAAUACUAUCCCCGACUACGCCUCGGAAUUGGUUUUGGUGU